Molecule: ribosomal RNA, 467 nt
Filed under: uncultured bacterium
Lineage: Bacteria
Description: partial 16S ribosomal RNA
Rfam family: Bacterial small subunit ribosomal RNA
Source: RNAcentral
GACGAACGCUGGCGGCGUGCUUAACACAUGCAAGUCGAACGGAAAGGCUCCAGCUUGCUGGAGUACUCGAGUGGCGAACGGGUGAGUAACACGUGGGUAAUCUGCCCUGCACUCUGGGAUAAGCCUGGGAAACUGGGUCUAAUACUGGAUAUGACCUUUCUCCUUAUGGGGUUUGGUGGAAAGUUUUUCGGUGUAGGAUGAGCCCGCGGCCUAUCAGCUUGUUGGUGGAGUGAUGGCCUACCAAGGCGACGACGGGUAGCCGGCCUGAGAGGGUGAUCGGCCACAUUGGGACUGAGAUACGGCCCAGACUCCUACGGGAGGCAGCAGUGGGGAAUAUUGCACAAUGGGCGGAAGCCUGAUGCAGCGACGCCGCGUGAGGGAUGACGGCCUUCGGGUUGUAAACCUCUUUCAGCAGGGACGAAGCGUAAGUGACGGUACCUGCAGAAGAAGCACCGGCUAACUAUGUG